Molecule: ribosomal RNA, 442 nt
Filed under: uncultured bacterium
Lineage: Bacteria
Description: partial 16S ribosomal RNA
Rfam family: Bacterial small subunit ribosomal RNA
Source: RNAcentral
CCUACGGGAGGCAGCAGUGGGGAAUAUUGGGCAAUGGGUGCAAGCCUGACCCAGCAACGCCGCGUGAAGGAAGAAGGCUUUCGGGUUGUAAAAUUCUUUUAAGAGGGAAGAGCAGAAGACGGUACCUCUUGAAUAAGCCACGGCUAAAUACGUGCCAGCAGCCGCGGUAAUACGUAGGUGGCAAGCGUUGUCCGGAUUUACUGGGUGUAAAGGGCGUGUAGCCGGGCUGACAAGUGAGAUGUGAAAUUCCGGGGCUCAACCCCGGACCUGCAUUUGAAACUGUUGGUCUUGAGUAUCGGAGAGGCAGGCGGAAUUCCUAGUGUAGCGGUGAAAUGCUUAGAUAUUAGGAAGAACACCAGUGGCGAAGGCGGCCUGCUGGACGACAACUGACGGUGAGGCGCGAAAGCGUGGGGAGCAAACAGGAUUAGAUACCCUAGUAGUC